AGUGAACGCUGGCGGUAGGCCUAACACAUGCAAGUCGAACGGCAGCACAGUAAGAGCUUGCUCUUACGGGUGGCGAGUGGCGGACGGGUGAGGAAUACAUCGGAAUCUACUUUUUCGUGGGGGAUAACGUAGGGAAACUUACGCUAAUACCGCAUACGACCUACGGGUGAAAGCAGGGGAUCUUCGGACCUUGCGCGAUCGAAUGAGCCGAUGUCGGAUUAGCUAGUUGGCGGGGUAAAGGCCCACCAAGGCGACGAUCCGUAGCUGGUCUGAGAGGAUGAUCAGCCACACUGGAACUGAGACACGGUCCAGACUCCUACGGGAGGCAGCAGUGGGGAAUAUUGGACAAUGGGCGCAAGCCUGAUCCAGCCAUACCGCGUGGGUGAAGAAGGCCUUCGGGUUGUAAAGCCCUUUUGUUGGGAAAGAAAAGCAGCAGGUUAAUACCCCGCUGUUCUGACGGUACCCAAAGAGUAAGCACCGGCUAACUUCGUG
RNAcentral lists this ribosomal RNA (492 nucleotides) under uncultured bacterium. Its description in RNAcentral is "partial 16S ribosomal RNA". It matches the Rfam family "Bacterial small subunit ribosomal RNA", at positions 29 to 507 of the family's 1533-position model. The record is from RNAcentral.